RNAcentral lists this transfer RNA (60 nucleotides) under Lactobacillus delbrueckii. It matches the Rfam family "tRNA", at positions 8 to 63 of the family's 71-position model. From Rfam's summary of the family: Transfer RNA (tRNA) molecules are approximately 80 nucleotides in length. Lineage: Bacteria; Bacillati; Bacillota; Bacilli; Lactobacillales; Lactobacillaceae. The record is from RNAcentral.
CUUAGCUCAGUUGGUAGAGCGCUUGACUGUUAAUUAGGAUGUCGUCAGUUCGAGUCUGAC